Molecule: transfer RNA, 82 nt
Filed under: Daphnia pulex (common water flea)
Lineage: Eukaryota; Metazoa; Arthropoda; Branchiopoda; Diplostraca; Daphniidae
Also listed under: 1 other name
Description: tRNA-Ser
Rfam family: tRNA
About the family: Transfer RNA (tRNA) molecules are approximately 80 nucleotides in length. Their secondary structure includes four short double-helical elements and three loops (D, anti-codon, and T loops).
Source: RNAcentral
GCAGAUAUGGCCGAGUGGUUAAAGCGACUGACUCGAAAUCAGUUUCCAUCUUGGAGCGUAGGUUCGAAUCCUACUAUCUGCG